GUCUUCUCUUCAAAGCACCCUGCUCAAACUGCAGGAGCCGAGCCUUCUGGGUCUGGCUCCCGCGGCCGUGUAAGCACGGGUACACCAGGGAAGGAGAGUAAAAGCCACGGCGUCGGAAACGAGGCUGGGAGGGACCUCUUUCUUAAUGUCCAUUUUCCUUUGCCUCAAGAUCCCGUGCUACACGU
Cyprinodon variegatus (sheepshead minnow) is the source of this 185-nucleotide small nucleolar RNA. Lineage: Eukaryota; Metazoa; Chordata; Actinopteri; Cyprinodontiformes; Cyprinodontidae. The record is from Ensembl.